CAAAGAGCCAGGAGUUUCAGAGAUUCAAACUGGUCACACAGUGGAAAUGGCUAAAAUGAGGAAGUCGACUUCAUGCUGUUGCUUGCCAAGGAUUCCUGGCAUGUGCUGCAGUUGGGGUAACAGUCAGCUUACUCUACACAGAAGACAAAGGCAACGGACUGGAAAAGACCGACGAGAGGACACAUUGGAAUGAAGGCGAAAAAACACCAACACUGGCCAGAGAUGAGAGGCAGACAGGCAUGAAGCAGUUAAACAAACAAGACAGCUUGAAUUGGAG
This 277-nucleotide long non-coding RNA is filed under the name Rattus norvegicus (Norway rat). RNAcentral's name for it is "long non-coding RNA NONRATT032628". The record is from RNAcentral. Lineage: Eukaryota; Metazoa; Chordata; Mammalia; Rodentia; Muridae.